CCUACGGGGUGCAGCAGUGAGGAAUAUUGGUCAAUGGCCGGAAGGCUGAACCAGCCAUGCCGCGUGAAGGUCAGUGCCCUAUGGGCGUUAAACUUCUUUUGUGCGGGAGCAAUAAUGGUCACGUGUGGCCAGACGAGAGUACCGUACGAAUAAGCAUCGGCUAACUCCGUGCCAGCAGCCGCGGUAAUACGGGGGAUGCAAGCGUUAUCCGGAUUUAUUGGGUUUAAGGGGUGCGUAGGCUGGGAGGUAAGUCAGCGGUGAAAUGCCCCCGCUCAACGGGGUGAAGUGCCAUUGAUACUGCCUGGCUGGAAUGCGGAUGCCGUGGGAGGAAUGUGUGGUGUAGCGGUGAAAUGCAUAGAUAUCACACAGAACACCGAUUGCGAAGGCAUCUCACGAAUCCGCGAUUGACGCUGAUGCACGAAAGCGUGGGUAUCAAACAGGAUUAGAUACCCGAGUAGUC
RNAcentral lists this ribosomal RNA (460 nucleotides) under uncultured bacterium. RNAcentral's name for it is "partial 16S ribosomal RNA". It matches the Rfam family "Bacterial small subunit ribosomal RNA", at positions 338 to 795 of the family's 1533-position model. The record is from RNAcentral.